Non-coding RNA from Otolemur garnettii (small-eared galago), 103 nucleotides. The record is from Rfam. NCBI's taxonomy places the organism in Eukaryota, Metazoa, Chordata, Mammalia, Primates, Galagidae.
CUGGUGCUUGCUUCAGCAGCACUAAAAUUGGAAGGAUACAGAGAAGGAAGCAUGGCCCCUGUGCAAGGAUGGCACGCAAAUCUGUGAAGCGUUCCAUAUUAAA